UGGGGAAUUUUGGACAAUGGGCGCAAGCCUGAUCCAGCCAUUCCGCGUGAGUGAAGAAGGCCUUCGGGUUGUAAAGCUCUUUCGCAAGGGAAGAAACGAUACGAGCGAAUAACUCGUGUUAAUGACGGUACCUUGAUAAGAAGCACCGGCUAACUACGUGCCAGCAGCCGCGGUAAUACGUAGGGUGCGAGCGUUAAUCGGAAUUACUGGGCGUAAAGCGUGCGCAGGCGGUUUUGUAAGUCAGAUGUGAAAGCCCCGGGCUCAACCUGGGAACUGCGUUUGAAACUACAAGGCUAGAGUAUGGCAGAGGGGGGUAGAAUUCCACGUGUAGCAGUGAAAUGCGUAGAGAUGUGGAGGAAUACCAAUGGCGAAGGCAGCCCCCUGGGUCAAUACUGACGCUCAUGCACGAAAGCGUGGGGAGCAAACAGG
Molecule: ribosomal RNA, 429 nt
Filed under: uncultured bacterium
Lineage: Bacteria
Description: bacterial SSU rRNA
Rfam family: Bacterial small subunit ribosomal RNA
Source: RNAcentral